GUCCUUGUAGCUCAGUGGAUAGAGCGUUUGGUUGCGGUCCAAAAGGUCGUAGGUUCAACUCCUACCAAGGACA
Molecule: transfer RNA, 73 nt
Filed under: Parcubacteria group bacterium
Lineage: Bacteria
Also listed under: 2 other names
Description: tRNA-Arg
Rfam family: tRNA
About the family: Transfer RNA (tRNA) molecules are approximately 80 nucleotides in length. Their secondary structure includes four short double-helical elements and three loops (D, anti-codon, and T loops).
Source: RNAcentral